GACGAACGCUGGCGGCGUGCCUAAUACAUGCAAGUCGAACGCAUUUUCUUUCACCGUAGCUUGCUACACCGAAAGAAAAUGAGUGGCGAACGGGUGAGUAACACGUGGGUAACCUGCCCAUCAGCGGGGGAUAACACUUGGAAACAGGUGCUAAUACCGCAUAAUUCCAUUUACCGCAUGGUAAAUGGAUGAAAGGCGCUUUUGCGUCACUGAUGGAUGGACCCGCGGUGCAUUAGCUAGUUGGUGGGGUAACGGCCUACCAAGGCUGCGAUGCAUAGCCGACCUGAGAGGGUGAUCGGCCACACUGGGACUGAGACACGGCCCAGACUCCUACGGGAGGCAGCAGUAGGGAAUCUUCGGCAAUGGACGCAAGUCUGACCGAGCAACGCCGCGUGAUUGAAGAAGGUUUUCGGAUCGUAAAACUCUGUUGUUAGAGAAGAACAAGGAUGAGAGUGGAAAGUUCAUCCCUUGACGGUAGCUAACCAGAAAGCCACGGCUAACUACGUG
Molecule: ribosomal RNA, 507 nt
Filed under: uncultured bacterium
Lineage: Bacteria
Description: partial 16S ribosomal RNA
Rfam family: Bacterial small subunit ribosomal RNA
Source: RNAcentral